CUUUAUUGUAGUUUUAGAUCUGUAUUGGGUUUGUAGUUUUCUAUGAAUUGCUAGUUAUAUUUGUAUGUUUCUCAUGCUUUUUUCUGCUUCUUGUAUUGAUUAGACACUGAUGAAGAGUUGAUGAAUUGCAAGACCAAGUUUAAAAGAAAGGAUUGCAAUGUUGCAAUGUUACAAAAUAAGCAAGUUGGAAAGAGAGAUGAAUGACACCCAAAGUUCUUUCCUUAAGAAGAUGAUUCCAUCUGGGAGAUUAGCAAGCUACAAAUAGAAGCAGAGGGUCACACGUCUUUGAAGAAUAAACGUGAUUCCUCCAUUCAAAAUCUUUUAGCUAGGUAUAACUUAGGGAUGAAUUUGUUCUUUUUGUAAACAAAACAAGUGUAUUUGGAUAUCAGAUUGAAUUUGUUGUUUUGGUGCACAAUUUUUAAUUUUUCGGUUUCAGCACAAUUAUAUGGAUAUUGAGUUGUUCUUUAUUUA
Molecule: long non-coding RNA, 471 nt
Organism: Lotus japonicus
Lineage: Eukaryota; Viridiplantae; Streptophyta; Magnoliopsida; Fabales; Fabaceae
Exons: 2
Source: RefSeq, a predicted model, not a curated record